Gasterosteus aculeatus aculeatus (three-spined stickleback) is the source of this 1668-nucleotide long non-coding RNA. The record is from Ensembl. Lineage: Eukaryota; Metazoa; Chordata; Actinopteri; Perciformes; Gasterosteidae.
GAAUUCUGAUCCACUCAUAAAGACCCCAUGGUGUGACAAAAGCGGUUAUGGGUCUGCUCUCCUUCGUCAUAAAGCCCUGAUGGUACGCUUUCCCUUGAUCUAACAGAGAGAACCAACAGUUUCCUCCGAGGCCAUCCAUUAUGUCUUGCACUCUGGGGAUAGGCUGGCGGUCAGGGAGGGUCUUUCUGUUCACUUCGCGAAAGUCUAUGCACAGUCGGAGACUCCCAUCCUUCUUUCGAACGCACACGACUGGUGAUGCAUACGGUGAAUUAGACUUCUCCACCCAACCCUGAGCGAUGAGAUCAUUCAAGUAGUCUUUCAUUUCCCGAUAAAGUGGCUUAGGCACCGAGAGGUAUGCUUUUGCGACAGGCUCCGUGUCUUUCAGGGAAAUGCUGAGUUGAAGUUUUUCGAUACAACCGAUAUCAUCCUCUGUUCUUGAAAAGGAGGCACACUCCUCUCGUAACAUCUUGCUAACUAUCUCACGUUCUGGCUCACUGAGGUGGCCCAAAUCCACAGGUGGAUCCCAAACAUUGCCUGUAGUCAGAUCCUUUUCAGCGCUGAUGUGAUUUGUUGUAGCUGAAGGCGGAGGGCGUGACCCCUCUAGUAUGGAGGCGGGGUAGACUGUUUGGACCUGCUGGACAGUCCCGACUACAGUUUUCCCUGGUAACAUCAUGUCAUGGUCUGUAAUAUUCUGCACACUUACACUAAUAGAGGGUUUUUUUCUGUCCUUAUCUACUUUCACCAGCAUGUCACAUAGUUCAAGUCCCUCUGCCCAGCGGGGGUUCACAUCUGGCUCGAAGAGAAAUAUGUUGUCUUCAUGUGGAGAAUCCAUGUUUACAUGACACUCAACUCUGACUGAUGUGCGUUUUGCCCGCAGAAAACCAGUAGCCCUGUGGCGGAUCCUGCAUCUGCUGACCUGAGAAUUGCAGUCCUAAUGCGCCAUCGGCCCCCCCUGCUGGCGGUGGUUGUAUGGACUCCCUAAUAAGCUUCGCUGGACUGCACUGAAUGGAUGGUAACAGGUCUUUGUUGUCCUGAUAAUUUUUUCUUGUUCUGCCUCUCGGUCUCAUAAGCACAUGCUGUAUUCACUCGCUCAAGCAACAGUUCAUCAGCGAUGUCAGUUUGCUCCAAGUAAGGCUGAAGAUCCCGCCUGAUGUUGUCAUUCUGCAGGCCAGUUAGCACAGUGUGAAGAAACAUCUUCUGCACUAACCCAGGGUCAUAUUGGAGACCUGACUCAGAUUCCUGCGAAGCGAACAAAAUUUUUUGUCUCAGGUCGAAAGUGCGAAUUAGGAAGUUCUGUGGGGUUUCUUUGAUGCCCUGCACCUCUGAGGUCAGCUGCUUAUAAAGGUCGGUUGCACUUUUCUCUUGAUAAUGACUUCGGAGUAUUCGCCUCAGCAUGGGUAAGGUUAGGUUGGUUUUGCCCUCUAAAUAGCUGCGGAGUUGCAUGCCUGGAGAUAUCGCUCUUAUCACUGCAUCUGCUAUCUCGAGUUCCAGAAACCCCUUGCUUAAGCCAUGUUCAAUUUGACGUGCUAGGCUCGAAAAAGUCAGCUUGUCUCUCUGACCGGGCUCACCGAUUUGGCCAGCAAUCUUAAAAUCCUUUUGCCAUGGGUGAGGUGCAGGACUGUGGACUACACUCUGUGGUGAUUGUCUGGUGGGGGUAAUGCUUUUAAU